UCCAUGGUGGUUGUAAAUGCCCCACGUGACUAAACACAGCUGGUUGGAGUAUUAGACCAUGAGACUGAUCAUCAUAUCAGGUGGGAGGCUCACUUGGUUUGUUGUCCUCUUCUAAUUGGCUAACCACACAAUUCCCACGUGGAAACCCACGUGGCCCCUCUAAGUACUAUUUUUUCUUUUUUCAUUAUUGUUUUAAGUUUCGGGUGGUAUCCAGCCAGAACUUCAGCUGCCUCAUUAAGUACAAAAUUUAACCAACAUUUAUACAUAUCCUUCAUAUAUCUAUAUAUAUCUAUGAUCUUUCUUCUACCCUCUUUGCCUACAACUUUUCCCAUGUGUUUAUAAAUUAUAUACAUACAUUUCUAUUCUCCAUCUUACUAAGCAGAUUGGAGUAUCAAAUAUUAUUAUAUUAUAUAACCAUUUGGUGACUUUAGGGUUUCGCGGCUACUGUUGUCAUGUUUAUGUAUACCUAUGCUCAGCCAUGGUGGUUUUAUUCUUCUGCAUUUGCACCUGCACCUGUAUCUUACUCCAUCUAUAUCCUACAGAGUGAAAGCUUUUUAAACUUAUAAGUCCAAUAAGAGAGAGAAAAACAAAGAAAAAAUCACAUACACACAAUAAUAGGCAAGAACUUCAAUCCAUAGUCUUAGAAGACUUAAUUAGAGUAUGCACAAACAUACACCAUAAAUUUCUAUAUACCCAGAAAACAAUAGGAGAGAAGAAUAGAAUAAUCUAUUUUUAUAUAUAUAUAUGUAGAGAGAGAGAGAGAGAGAGAGAGAGAGAGAGAGAGAAGUGUGUAUAGGUGCAGGUGCAUUUGCAGACGAAUGCCACUUUGGUUUUGGUAUCUGUGAUUCUGUAUCAUGAUCUGAUCAUUAUUGCUGCUGAAUAAGUUUGAAAGGUGAAAAUAGAUCCCACAUGGGCCUCUCUCUUUGUCUGUUUGUUCUGUUCUAGGGAACCAUUCGGUUACUUUCACCAAGCUUCUUGUAGAUGGAUGCUGCAAUCCCUACAGAUAUAUUAGAAUUCGGAUCCCAUAUCAACAAAUAAUGGCAGGCCAGUUAUAUCUACUUAGAAAUUUUGUUCCAUAAAAGAAAUAAUAAAAUAGUAAAAUAAAAAUAAAAUAAAAGCUGUAACUAAUUAAAUGUAAGGUUGUUCUAGUAUUGCGAAAAAGGUUUAGAUAAAACUCAUGAAUCCAGUUUCCUAUAUAUUUAAUUUUAAUUAUUAUUAUUAUUAUUAUUGCAAGAAAUAUUUGUGUGACAUAAAUAUUUAAUAUUUUUAAUUUUAUAUAUAUAUCACAUAAGAUUAUAUUUCCGUUA
Long non-coding RNA from Cannabis sativa, 1307 nucleotides. RefSeq lists it as uncharacterized. The transcript is spliced from 2 exons. The record is from RefSeq and is a predicted model, not a curated record. Lineage: Eukaryota; Viridiplantae; Streptophyta; Magnoliopsida; Rosales; Cannabaceae.